GACGAACGCUGGCGGCGUGCUUAACACAUGCAAGUCGAACGGUGACCCAGGGCUUGCCCUGGUGAUCAGUGGCGAACGGUGAGUAACACGUGGGCAACCUGCCCCUGACUUCGGGAUAACUCCUCGAAAGAGAGCUAAUACCGGAUACGACCACUUCGGACAUCCGAUGGUGGUGGAAAGUUUUUCGGUCAGGGAUGGGCCCGCGGCCUAUCAGCUAGUUGGUGGGGUAAUGGCCUACCAAGGCGACGACGGGUAGCCGGCCUGAGAGGGCGACCGGCCACACUGGGACUGAGACACGGCCCAGACUCCUACGGGAGGCAGCAGUGGGGAAUAUUGCGCAAUGGGCGAAAGCCUGACGCAGCGACGCCGCGUGAGGGAUGAAGG
Molecule: ribosomal RNA, 384 nt
Filed under: uncultured bacterium
Lineage: Bacteria
Description: bacterial SSU rRNA
Rfam family: Bacterial small subunit ribosomal RNA
Source: RNAcentral